CGGCAUUUCGCACACGUUUGCUUUCCUGUUGUUUAUUUGAUUUCACUGACAGCAAGUGAAUGGUGUGCGAAAGUUGAAAAGUUUACAUUGUCUCUGGAAAACCGAAACGAACAACGAGACGAGCUUGCAUCAACUAAACAGCAGACUACAAAACUACAAACAGUGCAGUUGCAUUACAUUUAAAUUGCAAUUGCAAUCCUGCGGUCGGGGGCACUUCGUCGUCGUCGUCUCGUCGUCUGCUGCUAUGAGAAAAUAAAGUGUGGUGUAAACCCGUGAAUAAAUCUUCUGGAGAGAAAAAGCUCGGAAGGGUUCAUCGGAAUAUGCCAGAGAGUAGAAAGCAAGUGUACCUGCGAAAGGAAAUUCUUCGUACCACCAUGCAUCACCAGCCUUUCUGCCGUUCCAGCUGCAGUCAUCGUACCCAGCAUCCAAAUUUUGUCAGCUUGACCACUGCAGUGUUGCUGUGCUGUGAGUGCGUGCUGUGUUCCCACCCAGUUCUGUUUUGACUUCGCCUGCCGUGUUCCAAGCCUGCUGUAAGCUGUUCAGUUCAUUUCAACUUGACUCUUUUUAAAGUUCCAUUAGAAUGUGCCAGAGGUAAUGAACCUUGUACCUGCGAAAGGAAAUUCUUCGUACCACCAUGCAUCACCAGCCUUUCUGCAGUCAUCGUACCCAGCAUCCAAAUUUUCCCAUGCCAUUUGUGCCCUGAUGGAGUAUAGAAGGAAUGGAGAGGGAGAGCUCAAAACAUUGUCAGUCGAGUCACUCACCUAGUGGCCCAGACUUAUGGAUCUACUGAAGACACCACUCAUUCGGUGGUCACAUGCGUGUCACAAGAACGAAGGGAAAAGGAGAUGGUCUUAGAAGGCAGCAGCAGCAUCAAAGGGAACAAAUAAAUUAUGAAUUGUUAUUAUUUUCUUUAAAUUGUUAUCC
Long non-coding RNA from Thrips palmi, 924 nucleotides. RefSeq lists it as uncharacterized. Lineage: Eukaryota; Metazoa; Arthropoda; Insecta; Thysanoptera; Thripidae. The record is from RefSeq and is a predicted model, not a curated record. The transcript has 6 exons.